UGCCUGCAAUAUAAGUGGCUGUACUGAAUUGCUGCUUUAACUUAUUUGGAUUUUCAGUGACAGCCGGCAGUGCUUAAACAGCAGCAGGCGCCUUUGACAUGUCCUGAUGAAAUACGUGGCCAGACAUGGAUCAAUCCCACCCGGAAUUGGGUUUCACAUCCCGGAAGCAGAGAUGUACACAUGGGUCACUUUCAUCGACUCUCUGCGGCCAUGGCCAUAGGUAUCCAUCAUACAGACCAUUGACUGGUUGUGACCAUGAAGGUACAGAUUCAUCACGGAGAGAGGCUGCGGUGGACGAGGUCAGCGGAAAGCAGCGACUGCUUCUCGUCUGCAACCAUGUGGAAAUGGAGCCUUUUGAGAUAUUUUCAAAAUGAUGACGGCUGGGCUUGGCUGAGGAUUGAAGGAGAGAAGAUGAAGGGAAGGAUGAUGGAGAGCUGGAUGAGGGAGAGACGAGGAAAAGAAGAUGGUGAAGAUUGAUUUUCAUUGACUUGGUUCCAGCGCACUGACAACUGUGAGAUUCCAAUAACCAGCCUGAAACACGUGCAUACACACUGCAGAGAUAUGGUGAAUAGUUGGGAAAUAUUAGCAAAUGUUUUCAACUGCGAAGGAGUCUAAUAACACUUGAGAAUAGAAAAUAAAACCCAGACAGACACUUGAGACUAAUUAGAAAAAUAUUUAUUUCAUCCCCUAUUCUCAUUGUGUUAGCAUCACUAAGUGAACACUAACAUCCACUACACACACUCCAAAAAACCCUCCCAGUGUGUGUGUGUGUGUGUGUGUGUGUGUGUGUGUGUGUGUGUGUGUGUGUGUGUGUGUGUGUG
Molecule: long non-coding RNA, 821 nt
Organism: Gymnodraco acuticeps
Lineage: Eukaryota; Metazoa; Chordata; Actinopteri; Perciformes; Bathydraconidae
Exons: 3
Source: RefSeq, a predicted model, not a curated record